GGGGAAACCCUGAUGCAGCAACGCCGCGUGAGCGAAGAAGGCCUUCGGGUCGUAAAGCUCUGUCCUAAGGGAAGAAGUAUGACGGUACCUUAGGAGGAAGCCCCGGCUAACUACGUGCCAGCAGCCGCGGUAAUACGUAGGGGGCGAGCGUUAUCCGGAAUCACUGGGCGUAAAGGGUGCGUAGGCGGCCGAGUAAGCCAGAGGUGAAAGGCUACGGCUUAACCGUAGUAAGCCUUUGGAACUACUUGGCUUGAGUGCAGGAGAGGAGAGUGGAAUUCCUAGUGUAGCGGUGAAAUGCGUAGAUAUUAGGAGGAACACCAGUGGCGAAGGCGACUCUCUGGACUGUAACUGACGCUGAGGCACGAAAGCGUGGGGAGCAAACAGGAUUAGAUACCCUGGUAGUCCACGCCGUAAACGAUGAGUGCUAGGUGUCGGGGGUUCACACCCUCGGUGCCGGAGUUAACGCAAUAAGCACUCCGCCUGGGGAGUACGGUCGCAAGACUGAAACUCAAAGGAAUUGACGG
Molecule: ribosomal RNA, 524 nt
Filed under: uncultured Clostridium sp.
Lineage: Bacteria; Bacillati; Bacillota; Clostridia; Eubacteriales; Clostridiaceae
Description: bacterial SSU rRNA
Rfam family: Bacterial small subunit ribosomal RNA
Source: RNAcentral